Molecule: unclassified non-coding RNA, 802 nt
Filed under: uncultured fungus
Lineage: Eukaryota; Fungi
Description: partial miscellaneous RNA
Rfam family: Eukaryotic small subunit ribosomal RNA (bases 1-153)
Source: RNAcentral
CGCACCUACCGAUUGAAUGGUCCGGUGAAGCCUCGGGAUUGCGAUUAGUGCCUUUACUGGUGCUGGUUGUGAGAACUUGUCUGAACCUUAUCAUUUAGAGGAAGGUGAAGUCGUAACAAGGUUUCCGUAGGUGAACCUGCGGAAGGAUCAUUAUCACACAUGAUUCUAGAAUCAUCAUUAAUGAGAUGCAUGAUUUGCUCAACAGGUCCACCAUUCUAACAUUGGUGGAUGGGUAGGUGUAGAGUGCAACCUGUUCUUGGUCAGUCUAGAUCACCACCAGGUCAAGCUCUCUCCUGCUCUGCAGUUAACCAGAAUGAAAUUAAAAACUAAGUGGGAAAAAGUCAAGUGGUAUAGCUUUUCAGCAAUGGAUGUCUUGGUUCCCACAUCAAUGAAGAACGCAGCGAAAUGCGAUACGUGAGACGAAUUGCAAAGCCUAGUGAAUCAUUGAAAUUUUGAACGCACAUUGCGCUUUCAGGUUUAUUCCUGGAAGCAUGCUGAUCUGAGUGUUGGUAAACUCCAAUCAGCGUCCGUUGUCAUUGGCGGGCUGCUGUUGCAAGAACGUUUUCAAACGUGCUGCAUUGUGAAAUUGUACGUUACCUGACUAGCUCGUGACUAAGUACUGUUUCAAAGUUAAUGUCGCAAGAUUUGAUGCUGCUUAAUGUCAGUGUAACUGGCAUCGCUUCGAUUAGCGGCCUUACUAGCACUAGCGAGUAGGAGAGUGCCAAUCAGUGGUGUGAGUUUGUUGAUUCUGACAUACCAUGGCAGCAUUUGAACCUGUUCUGAUCUCAGAAGUAGCAAGAGG